UAUAUUUAAGUUGUUGCAGUUAAAAAGCUCGUAGUUGGAUUUCGGCUAAGAGCGACCGGUCCGCCGUUUGGUGUGCACUGGUUGGUUUUAACUUCCUGUAGAGGACGUGCUCUGGGCUUAACGGUCUGGACUCGGAGUCUACGUGGUUACUUUGAAAAAAUUAGAGUGUUCAAAGCGGGCUUACGCUUGAAUAUUUCAGCAUGGAAUAACACUAUAGGACUCCUGUCCUAUUUCGUUGGUCUCGGGACGGGAGUAAUGAUUAAGAGGAACAGUUGGGGGCAUUCGUAUUUCAUUGUCAGAGGUGAAAUUCUUGGAUUUAUGAAAGACGAACUUCUGCGAAAGCAUUUGCCAAGGAUGUUUUCAUUAAUCAAGAACGAAAGUUGGGGGCUCGAAGAUGAUUAGAUACCAUCCUAGUCUCAACCAUAAACGAUGCCGACUAGGGAUUGGCGGAUGUUAAUUGAUGACUCCGCCAGCACCUUAUGAGAAAUCAAAGUUUUUGGGUUCCGGGGGGAGUAUGGUCGCAAGGCUGAAACUUAAAGGAAUUG
Molecule: ribosomal RNA, 545 nt
Filed under: uncultured Chlorophyta
Lineage: Eukaryota; Viridiplantae; Chlorophyta
Description: SSU rRNA
Rfam family: Eukaryotic small subunit ribosomal RNA
Source: RNAcentral